This 537-nucleotide ribosomal RNA is filed under the name uncultured bacterium. RNAcentral describes it as "bacterial SSU rRNA". It matches the Rfam family "Bacterial small subunit ribosomal RNA", at positions 338 to 873 of the family's 1533-position model. The record is from RNAcentral.
CCUACGGGAGGCAGCAGUGAGGAAUAUUGGACAAUGGGCGCAAGCCUGAUCCAGCCAUGCCGCGUGCAGGAUGACGGUCCUAUGGAUUGUAAACUGCUUUUGCACAGGAAGAAACAACAUUACGUGUAAUGUCUUGACGGUACUGUGAGAAUAAGGAUCGGCUAACUCCGUGCCAGCAGCCGCGGUAAUACGGAGGAUCCAAGCGUUAUCCGGAAUCAUUGGGUUUAAAGGGUCCGUAGGCGGUUUGGUAAGUCAGUGGUGAAAGCCCAUCGCUCAACGGUGGAACGGCCAUUGAUACUGCCAGACUUGAAUUAUUAGGAAGUAACUAGAAUAUGUAGUGUAGCGGUGAAAUGCUUAGAGAUUACAUGGAAUACCAAUUGCGAAGGCAGGUUACUACUAAUGGAUUGACGCUGAUGGACCGAAAGCGUGGGUAGCGAACAGGAUUAGAUACCCUGGUAGUCCACGCCGUAAACGAUGGAUACUAGNUGUGGUAGNGAUCUCNGUGUGUAGAGAAGUAGAUAGUAUACCACCGUCGGA